Long non-coding RNA from Eucalyptus grandis, 295 nucleotides. RefSeq lists it as uncharacterized. The transcript has 4 exons. The record is from RefSeq and is a predicted model, not a curated record. NCBI's taxonomy places the organism in Eukaryota, Viridiplantae, Streptophyta, Magnoliopsida, Myrtales, Myrtaceae.
UUUGGUCUUGUUCCAAGGAGGAAUUCUGAUGGUUAGUCAUGAUGAGCAUCUAAUAUCUAGAAGCGUGGAUGAGCUCUGGGUGAUUUCUCAAGGCAAGGUGGCGCCUUUCCAUGGGAAUUUCCAGGAUCAUAAGAAGAUACUUCAGUCCUCAUUGAAUCAGAUACCAUGGUGAUCUGUAUUGGCAAAAUCUCUUGGGAGGAUCACGUGCGAAUGUUGCUGAGGUCAAUAUUCGAAAUAAGAAGCUUUCUUUCUUCUGGUUAUUGUAUGGAUAUUUGACGUGUUACCCUCUGUGGCA